GACGAACGCUGGCGGCGUGCUUAACACAUGCAAGUCGAACGGAAAGGCCCUGCUUUUGUGGGGUGCUCGAGUGGCGAACGGGUGAGUAACACGUGAGUAACCUGCCCUUGACUUUGGGGUAACUUCAGGAAACUGGGGCUAAUACCGGAUAGGAGCUCCUGCUGCAUGGUGGGGGUUGGAAAGUUUCGGCGGUUGGGGAUGGACUCGCGGCUUAUCAGCUUGUUGGUGGGGUAGUGGCUUACCAAGGCUUUGACGGGUAGCCGGCCUGAGAGGGUGACCGGCCACAUUGGGACUGAGAUACGGCCCAGACUCCUACGGGAGGCAGCAGUGGGGAAUAUUGCACAAUGGGCGGAAGCCUGAUGCAGCAACGCCGCGUGCGGGAUGACGGCCUUCGGGUGGUAAACCGCUUUCGCCUGUGACGAAGCGUGAGUGACGGUAAUGGGUAAAGAAGCACCGGCUAACUACGUG
Molecule: ribosomal RNA, 468 nt
Filed under: uncultured bacterium
Lineage: Bacteria
Description: partial 16S ribosomal RNA
Rfam family: Bacterial small subunit ribosomal RNA
Source: RNAcentral